This 235-nucleotide long non-coding RNA is filed under the name Phoenix dactylifera (date palm). RNAcentral describes it as "long non-coding RNA (PDAC_LNC013122)". The record is from RNAcentral. Lineage: Eukaryota; Viridiplantae; Streptophyta; Magnoliopsida; Arecales; Arecaceae.
UGGAAAAAAUGGGAUUAUUUCAUGAAGAUACUUGUAUGAAAUUCUACGGCAACAGUUGAAGUUUUGGCUGCAAUCAUCGAUGUUGUAAGAUGGAAAUCAAAAGAACGGAGAAUAAAUUUGGUAUUCAACACAGAAAUAUAGAGAACUGUCUUGUGUUGGAGCUUGAUGAAUGGUAGAAUUGGCACCUGAUUCUCACCCACAAGCAGGGGAACAAAAUCUCUUGUAUAAAUGGAUG